CCUUCGCGUGCUUCGCGUCCCUUGCUAUUCAUAUGAUAAUUCUUAACUAGGGACUAGGGGGGAGGAGCCUUAACUAGGGGAGAGGUACUAUUCAUUUUCAAUCAAACGAGCAAAAGAUAAGUACAACUGGAGAUGAAACGCAUAAUUGCGGAGCAGAAAAAGCUGGAACUGUUUCAGCUCAUCCGUGAUGAACGCAAGACGCUUUAUGGAGAGUUUAAGGGCCCCAACGCCCGCUCGCGUAGGCUUCAAGAAUGGGGUCGCAUACGCGAGCGGGCCAUUCAACUUGGCCUGAUAAAUGACGCAACAUCGACGCGAAGCAUGUUGCAGGGUGUCAUAAAAAACACCCAAGACCGGACAAAAAAAAAAUUCCAGCAGAAGAACCAGUCGGGUCCAGGUGCAGUGGUCUGGACCGAGCUCGACGACACCGUCAUGGAUUGCUUGGG
Amphibalanus amphitrite is the source of this 443-nucleotide long non-coding RNA. RefSeq lists it as uncharacterized. The transcript has 3 exons. The record is from RefSeq and is a predicted model, not a curated record. NCBI's taxonomy places the organism in Eukaryota, Metazoa, Arthropoda, Thecostraca, Balanomorpha, Balanidae.